UGCUCUUUAUACCAAAAAAAUUUUUCAUCUAAGUGAAAAGACUUAGAUACUAAAGGAAGACGAAAAGACCCCGCGGAACUUCAUCUUUUCUUACACUACUGCCCAGUAGCACAAAGAUGUAAAAGAUUUGAUUGGGGCAAUCUCGGAACUACCCAACCUUCCGAUUCCUACUAAAUUACAUCCAAAAUUUGGUACAGACAAAACAGCAGUUACCCCGGGGAUAACAGCGUCAUCCAACUUAAGAGUACACAUCGAAAGUUGGGUUUGCGACCUCGAUGUUG
RNAcentral lists this ribosomal RNA (281 nucleotides) under Lamprotula leaii. Its description in RNAcentral is "partial 16S ribosomal RNA". It matches the Rfam family "Bacterial large subunit ribosomal RNA", at positions 2048 to 2534 of the family's 2925-position model. The record is from RNAcentral. Lineage: Eukaryota; Metazoa; Mollusca; Bivalvia; Unionida; Unionidae.